GUAAACAAUAGUAUACAUUAUCAUACAGACUGAUACACAGAUAAAGACAAAAAUGCCUGCAUGAGCACUUCUUACUAUGGUCAACAACUUGAAUAUGGUUCCCUAUGAUAACCUAGAAUUUUUUGUGGUAGAAGACAUGGGGUAUCUAGAUGUGCAAGAGAUCAAAUAGAGAGAAGAAGAUAUAGAGGGUGAUAGAAAUAUAUUGGAAGAAGGAGAGACAUAUGAUAGGCGGAGAGAAUCGCGGAGAAAGUCGUGGAUGGACCAGCCGAACGGCAACAAAGUACCCCUC
RNAcentral lists this long non-coding RNA (289 nucleotides) under Elaeis guineensis (African oil palm). RNAcentral's name for it is "long non-coding RNA (EGUI_LNC024674)". Lineage: Eukaryota; Viridiplantae; Streptophyta; Magnoliopsida; Arecales; Arecaceae. The record is from RNAcentral.